GACGAACGCUGGCGGCGUGCUUAACACAUGCAAGUCUAGGGGGCCCAGCAAUGGGUCACCGGCGAACGGGUGCGUAACACGUGAGCGACCUACCUUGAGAUGGGGGAUAGCCGGCCCAACGGCCGGGUAAUACCGCAUACGCUCAUCGGGCUUCAUGGCCUGGUGAGGAAAGCUUUAGCGUCUCUAGAGGGGCUCGCGGCCUAUCAGCUAGUUGGCGGGGUAACGGCCCACCAAGGCUAUGACGGGUAGCUGGUCUGAGAGGAUGGCCAGCCACAUUGGGACUGAGAAACGGCCCAGACUCCUACGGGAGGCAGCAGUGGGGAAUAUUGCGCAAUGGUCGAAAGACUGACGCAGCGACGCCGCGUGGAGGAUGACGCCUCGGGU
Molecule: ribosomal RNA, 384 nt
Filed under: uncultured bacterium
Lineage: Bacteria
Description: bacterial SSU rRNA
Rfam family: Bacterial small subunit ribosomal RNA
Source: RNAcentral